AUGCAACUACCUUGGCUUGCCAUUAACAAUCAGAAAGCAGUCGGCCGCACAACUACAAGGCCUUGUGGAUCACCCAGCGAAGUGCCUACCAUCUUGACACGCAUCAUCUCUGCCCAGAAGUGGAGGGUUGUUACUAGUAGUAAAAUACGUGUUAUGCCCGAUGGCACUCCAUGUGAUGAUGGCGUUGGAUCUGCCCUUGAAAAUGAUCAUUGCUCUAAACAAGAUAGUCAGGGGUUUCCUCCGGCGCGGACAUGCGGAGGCCAAGGGAGGCAACUAUGGUGUAGCAUGGUCAGAAGUGUGUAA
This 303-nucleotide ribosomal RNA is filed under the name Triticum aestivum (bread wheat). RNAcentral describes it as "partial small subunit ribosomal RNA". Lineage: Eukaryota; Viridiplantae; Streptophyta; Magnoliopsida; Poales; Poaceae. The record is from RNAcentral.